UGGGGAAUAUUGCACAAUGGGCGCAAGCCUGAUGCAGCCAUGCCGCGUGUAUGAAGAAGGCCUUCGGGUUGUAAAGUACUUUCAGCGGGGAGGAAGGUGUUGAGGCUAAUAACCUCAGCAAUUGACGUUACCCGCAGAAGAAGCACCGGCUAACUCCGUGCCAGCAGCCGCGGUAAUACGGAGGGUGCAAGCGUUAAUCGGAAUUACUGGGCGUAAAGCGCACGCAGGCGGUCUGUCAAGUCGGAUGUGAAAUCCCCGGGCUCAACCUGGGAGCUGCAUUCGAAACUGGCAGGCUAGAGUCUUGUAGAGGGGGGUAGAAUUCCAGGUGUAGCGGUGAAAUGCGUAGAGAUCUGGAGGAAUACCGGUGGCGAAGGCGGCCCCCUGGACAAAGACUGACGCUCAGGUGCGAAAGCGUGGGGAGCAAACA
This 427-nucleotide ribosomal RNA is filed under the name uncultured bacterium. Its description in RNAcentral is "partial 16S ribosomal RNA". It matches the Rfam family "Bacterial small subunit ribosomal RNA", at positions 355 to 774 of the family's 1533-position model. The record is from RNAcentral.